This 73-nucleotide transfer RNA is filed under the name Holospora obtusa F1. It matches the Rfam family "tRNA". From Rfam's summary of the family: Transfer RNA (tRNA) molecules are approximately 80 nucleotides in length. Their secondary structure includes four short double-helical elements and three loops (D, anti-codon, and T loops). The record is from Rfam by way of RNAcentral. Lineage: Bacteria; Pseudomonadati; Pseudomonadota; Alphaproteobacteria; Holosporales; Holosporaceae.
GCCGAGUUAGCUCAGUUGGUAGAGCGACUGAUUUGUAAUCAGUAGGUCGUUAGUUCAAGUCUAAUACUCGGCA